This 1744-nucleotide ribosomal RNA is filed under the name Mycobacterium tuberculosis. RNAcentral's name for it is "bacterial LSU rRNA". It matches the Rfam family "Bacterial large subunit ribosomal RNA", at positions 1307 to 2925 of the family's 2925-position model. The record is from RNAcentral. Lineage: Bacteria; Bacillati; Actinomycetota; Actinomycetes; Mycobacteriales; Mycobacteriaceae.
UAGCGACAAGGCAAGUGAGAACCUUGCCCGCCGAAAGACCAAGGGUUCCUGGGCCAGGCCAGUCCGCCCAGGGUGAGUCGGGACCUAAGGCGAGGCCGACAGGCGUAGUCGAUGGACAACGGGUUGAUAUUCCCGUACCCGUGUGUGGGCGCCCGUGACGAAUCAGCGGUACUAACCACCCAAAACCGGAUCGAUCACUCCCCUUCGGGGGUGUGGAGUUCUGGGGCUGCGUGGGAACUUCGCUGGUAGUAGUCAAGCGAAGGGGUGACGCAGGAAGGUAGCCGUACCAGUCAGUGGUAACACUGGGGCAAGCCGGUAGGGAGAGCGAUAGGCAAAUCCGUCGCUCACUAAUCCUGAGAGGUGACGCAUAGCCGGUUGAGGCGAAUUCGGUGAUCCUCUGCUGCCAAGAAAAGCCUCUAGCGAGCACACACACGGCCCGUACCCCAAACCGACACAGGUGGUCAGGUAGAGCAUACCAAGGCGUACGAGAUAACUAUGGUUAAGGAACUCGGCAAAAUGCCCCCGUAACUUCGGGAGAAGGGGGACCGGAAUAUCGUGAACACCCUUGCGGUGGGAGCGGGAUCCGGUCGCAGAAACCAGUGAGGAGCGACUGUUUACUAAAAACACAGGUCCGUGCGAAGUCGCAAGACGAUGUAUACGGACUGACGCCUGCCCGGUGCUGGAAGGUUAAGAGGACCCGUUAACCCGCAAGGGUGAAGCGGAGAAUUUAAGCCCCAGUAAACGGCGGUGGUAACUAUAACCAUCCUAAGGUAGCGAAAUUCCUUGUCGGGUAAGUUCCGACCUGCACGAAUGGCGUAACGACUUCUCAACUGUCUCAACCAUAGACUCGGCGAAAUUGCACUACGAGUAAAGAUGCUCGUUACGCGCGGCAGGACGAAAAGACCCCGGGACCUUCACUACAACUUGGUAUUGAUGUUCGGUACGGUUUGUGUAGGAUAGGUGGGAGACUGUGAAACCUCGACGCCAGUUGGGGCGGAGUCAUUGUUGAAAUACCACUCUGAUCGUAUUGGGCAUCUAACCUCGAACCCUGAAUCGGGUUUAGGGACAGUGCCUGGCGGGUAGUUUAACUGGGGCGGUUGCCUCCUAAAAUGUAACGGAGGCGCCCAAAGGUUCCCUCAACCUGGACGGCAAUCAGGUGGCGAGUGUAAAUGCACAAGGGAGCUUGACUGCGAGACUUACAAGUCAAGCAGGGACGAAAGUCGGGAUUAGUGAUCCGGCACCCCCGAGUGGAAGGGGUGUCGCUCAACGGAUAAAAGGUACCCCGGGGAUAACAGGCUGAUCUUCCCCAAGAGUCCAUAUCGACGGGAUGGUUUGGCACCUCGAUGUCGGCUCGUCGCAUCCUGGGGCUGGAGCAGGUCCCAAGGGUUGGGCUGUUCGCCCAUUAAAGCGGCACGCGAGCUGGGUUUAGAACGUCGUGAGACAGUUCGGUCUCUAUCCGCCGCGCGCGUCAGAAACUUGAGGAAACCUGUCCCUAGUACGAGAGGACCGGGACGGACGAACCUCUGGUGCACCAGUUGUCCCGCCAGGGGCACCGCUGGAUAGCCACGUUCGGUCAGGAUAACCGCUGAAAGCAUCUAAGCGGGAAACCUUCUCCAAGAUCAGGUUUCUCACCCACUUGGUGGGAUAAGGCCCCCCGCAGAACACGGGUUCAAUAGGUCAGACCUGGAAGCUCAGUAAUGGGUGUAGGGAACUGGUGCUAACCGGCCGAAAACUUACAACACCC